Methanoplanus limicola DSM 2279 is the source of this 313-nucleotide non-coding RNA. It matches the Rfam family "Archaeal signal recognition particle RNA". The record is from Rfam. NCBI's taxonomy places the organism in Archaea, Methanobacteriati, Methanobacteriota, Methanomicrobia, Methanomicrobiales, Methanomicrobiaceae.
CUGGGGACUAACCCGGGUGGUUAGGCGUCACCUGUUACCCGAAACCGCCGUUAUGCGGGGGGUGAUAGGUCGGGAGCGGCUUUGGCGAUCUUUCCGGAGCGUGCCCGCCCUGACUGCGAAGCCUUGUCCUGUGAGAUCAGUGGAAAAGUAUCAAAAUUCCGGAGGGGAUGGAGACUUUUAGCUGCGGAGACCGGUUCAGGCCCGGAAGGGAGCAGACUUACCGCAGACAUCUGGUGCCCACAGGGUUGCAGGGUGGAGGAAGGGUAUCACGCGAAAGAAAGGCACGCGAUUCCCACCCCGAUCACGUCCCUUU